Molecule: ribosomal RNA, 576 nt
Filed under: uncultured Glomeromycotina
Lineage: Eukaryota; Fungi; Glomeromycota
Description: SSU rRNA
Rfam family: Eukaryotic small subunit ribosomal RNA
Source: RNAcentral
GGGUUCGAUUCCGGAGAGGGAGCCUGAGAAACGGCUACCACAUCCAAGGAAGGCAGCAGGCGCGCAAAUUACCCAAUCCCAAUACGGGGAGGUAGUGACAAUAAAUAACAAUAUGGGGCUCUUACGGGUCUCGUAAUUGGAAUGAGUACAAUUUAAAUCUCUUAACGAGGAACAAUUGGAGGGCAAGUCUGGUGCCAGCAGCCGCGGUAAUUCCAGCUCCAAUAGCGUAUAUUAAAGUUGUUGCAGUUAAAAAGCUCGUAGUUGAAUUUCGGAGUUUGUCGGUUGGUCGGGCUUCACUGUCCGCACUGGCCUGAUGGAUUCCUACCUUCUGAAUAACCAGCAUGCUAUUAAGUUAGUGCGUUGGGGAAGCAGAGCUAUUACCUUGAAAAAAUUAGAGUGCUUAAAGCAGGCUUUUGCUUGAAUAGAUUAGCAUGGAAUAAUAAAAUAGGACGGCAUGGUUCUAUUUUGUUGGUUUCUAGGAUCACCGUAAUGAUUAAUAGGGAUAGUUGGGGGCAUUAGUAUUCAAUUGUCAGAGGUGAAAUUCUUGGAUUUAUUGAAGACUAACUUCUGCGAAAG